Molecule: ribosomal RNA, 246 nt
Filed under: uncultured bacterium
Lineage: Bacteria
Description: partial 16S ribosomal RNA
Rfam family: Bacterial small subunit ribosomal RNA
Source: RNAcentral
GUAACGCGUGGGUAACCUGCCUCAUACAGGGGGAUAACAGUUAGAAAUGACUGCUAAUACCGCAUAAGCGCACAGUGCUGCAUGGCACAAGUGUGAAAAACUCCGGUGGUAUGAGAUGGACCCGCGUCUGAUUAGCUAGUUGGUGGGGUAACGGCCUACCAAGGCGACGAUCAGUAGCCGGCCUGAGAGGGUGAACGGCCACAUUGGGACUGAGACACGGCCCAAACUCCUACGGGAGGCAGCAUG